GGAUUGCCUCAGUAACGGCGAGUGAAGCGGCAAGAGCUCAAAUUUGAAAGCUGGCUCCUUCGGAGUCCGCAUUGUAAUUUGCAGAGGAUGCUUUGGGUGCGGCCCCCGUCUAAGUGCCCUGGAACGGGCCGUCAGAGAGGGUGAGAAUCCCGUCUUGGGCGGGGUGUCCGUGCCCGUGUAAAGCUCCUUCGACGAGUCGAGUUGUUUGGGAAUGCAGCUCUAAAUGGGUGGUAAAUUUCAUCUAAAGCUAAAUACUGGCCGGAGACCGAUAGCGCACAAGUAGAGUGAUCGAAAGAUGAAAAGCACUUUGAAAAGAGAGUUAAACAGCACGUGAAAUUGUUGAAAGGGAAGCGCUUGCGACCAGACUCGCCCGCGGGGUUCAGCCGGCAUUCGUGCCGGUGUACUUCCCCGUGGGCGGGCCAGCGUCGGUUUGGGCGGCCGGUCAAAGGCCCCUGGAAUGUAGUGCCCUCCGGGGCACCUUAUAGCCAGGGGUGCAAUGCGGCCAGCCUGGACCGAGGAACGCGCUUCGGCACGGACGCUGGCAUAAUGGUCGUAAACGACCCGUCUUGAAACACGGACCAAGGAGUCUAACAUCUACGCGAGUGUUCGGGUGUCAAACCCGUGCGCGCAGUGAAAGCGAACGGAGGUGGGAGCCCCCUUGCGGGGCGCACCAUCGACCGAUCCUGAUGUCUUCGGAUGGAUUUGAGUAAGAGCGUAGCUGUGGGGACCCGAAAGAUGGUGAACUAUGCCUGAAUAGGGCGAAGCCAGAGGAAACUCUGGUGGAGGCUCGCAGCGGUUCUGACGUGCAAAUCGAUCGUCAAAUUUGGGUAUAGGGGCGAAAGACUAAUCGAACCAUCUAGUAGCUGGUUCCUGCCGAAGUUUCCCUCAGGAUAGCAGUAACGCAAAAUCAGUUUUAUGAGGUAAAGCGAAUGAUUAGAGGCAUUGGGGUUGAAACAACCUUAACCUAUUCUCAAACUUUAAAUAUGUAAGAAGCCCUUGUUGCUUAGUUGAACGUGGGCAUUAGAAUGGAGCGUUACUAGUGGGCCAUUUUUGGUAAGCAGAACUGGCGAUGCGGGAUGAACCGAACGCGAGGUUAAGGUGCCGGAAUGCACGCUCAUCAGACACCACAAAAGGUGUUAGUUCAUCUAGACAGCCCGACGGUGGCCAUGGAAGUCGGAAUCCGCUAAGGA
RNAcentral lists this ribosomal RNA (1190 nucleotides) under Aspergillus luchuensis. RNAcentral describes it as "partial large subunit ribosomal RNA". It matches the Rfam family "Eukaryotic large subunit ribosomal RNA", at positions 72 to 1277 of the family's 3401-position model. Lineage: Eukaryota; Fungi; Ascomycota; Eurotiomycetes; Eurotiales; Aspergillaceae. The record is from RNAcentral.